AGAAAAAUUCAUUAACCCAUUUUAAACGGAUACAUAGGCCUCCUAUAAUGCUAUUCGCAUCGAAAAGCCUAUUAACAGGAAUGUACGUGAAAAGAAAAUAUAUAACUCAGUAGUCACUGCAGUGAGUGAUAGAGAGCGCAUUUUCUCGUUGACGAAAAUGUUAAGUCACCGAAGGACGGACACAUGACGAGCACAAUAGCGCCAUUUUUUUACAUAAAUGAGAAAAUGCGCUAAAAACAAUCUGAUAUUCUUGAACUCAAGAUAACGGAUAAAAAGGUUUCUUCCACCAUCCCAGUCGAAUUUUUCGCUCCAUUUCAGGCCGCCCGAGGACAGACAGUCUGCUUUGGGGUGACUCAGGUGCCUAUAUCGGCCACCUAACUGCAAUCAUCGGCUAUAUAGGAGCCGACUGGGGGAGUUGAUUGCAUGAUAGGCCGAAUAUACGUAAUCAGGCCGAAAAAAGCAGCUGGCUAGGCUUCUGUGGCCAGACGCUGUUAUUUGAGCGAGCCAUUGCCAUCUCCCGCUCAUCAUACGGCGUCGAUGUAUGUUCACGCGUACGUUUGUUUGAUAAGUCAUAUCAUGAAAGAAAAUGCGAAUUGACUUUACAAUUUUUUCAGCUUUCGUGGUACCCAUUGCGUACGUGACAAAAAUCAUUGACAAACUUGAUAGAGAGCGUGGCAGCAAAAAAUAAAUCACUUUAGCUCCAUGAGAAAUUUGCUUAUCAUAAGAUUAAUGACUGAUAUGUAAUUGGCAGAACCAGCAAUAGAUGAACGUUCGAUUUUACAUUCUGGGCCAACAAGUUUAUAUUAAUAUUCAGUUUACUAUGAUGUUGGUAUGGAACUACUUGAUAUAGUUAUGGCUGUGCACUGCCUGGUGACAGGCAUUGUAGAUUACAAGUUAUCUUCUGUUGUCCAAACAAGGUCUAAGAAAUUGAACUAUACCGUAUACGGGUCAAGAUAAUAUUGUGGUACGGUUGACAAAAUUCCUAAUGUAGUCUGACAUGGAAUUCUAAAAAAUAUGAUAGCGAUAACGGGUGAAUAAAUGUAACGACUUAUUGCGACAUAAAUUACGUUACUUGUCCUAAGCAUGUAACAAAGCUUAAAAUUUCGCCCGAACGCACUACAGCGCUUUGUUGAAGCUGCAGCACCAACAGCAGCAGGGCAGUGGACAGCGAACUAACAUGUUCCAACCAGUCGGCAGUCUCCACUAAGUCCACAUCGUCAGUGUUCAGCGUGGCAGCGUGGAUUAUGUCCAUUUGUGAGCUGUGUUUAGAUUUUUGAUGGAAAAUUGGCAUUUUAACAGAGUGCUUGCUGUUGACAGAAACGACUCCAGGAACCGGUCCCGAAUGGAAAUUUGUCGCAAGCUAUGACAUCCAAAGCUAUUAGACACACGCACAUACUAACUCAUGGGUUCAACACACUUCCUUGAAGCAUAAUUAAGAAACUGGACGAGUUGAGUACAUCUGAGAUCGUGGGUUGCGAAGGUGGCCGACGUUGCGUCUCUGUCGUCCGCCCCAGUUUGGUUGUCUCCACGACUUUGGCUCUGCGGUCGCCUUCGCUGGAAUCUACAUAGCGGUACAGAAGAAGAGUUCAAGCGUCCUGGGACUGACGAUGGAGAGAGCGAAUAUUUUAAGCUGGUACCGUGGAAGAGUGCAUUAUGCUUUUGGCGUGGUCGAAUGCAUGGUGAUGAUGACGUGGAAGAGUGCAUGAUGCUUUUGGCGUGGUCGAAUGCAUGGUGAUGAUGACGUGGAAGAAUGCAUGAUGCUUUUGGCGUGGUCGAAUGCAUGGUGAUGAUGACGUGGAAGAAUGCAUGGUGCUUUUGGCGUGGUAGAAUGCAUGGUGAU
Long non-coding RNA from Hyalella azteca, 1840 nucleotides. RefSeq lists it as uncharacterized. NCBI's taxonomy places the organism in Eukaryota, Metazoa, Arthropoda, Malacostraca, Amphipoda, Hyalellidae. The record is from RefSeq and is a predicted model, not a curated record. The transcript has 3 exons.